Molecule: long non-coding RNA, 3788 nt
Filed under: Anolis carolinensis (green anole)
Lineage: Eukaryota; Metazoa; Chordata; Lepidosauria; Squamata; Anolidae
Description: lncRNA (ENSACAG00000041373.1)
Source: RNAcentral
AUGCUCAGCCAGAGGGGUUUCACUAAAGUACAAGUCUCAGAAAUCUGCAGUGCUUUAAACUGUCAUGUGAUAAUGCACCAAGUCAGAAAUUCAGAUAAAGAAAGUAAGCAGAGAGCAAAGCACAUCCGACAAUUGUGGCCAGUCAUCAAGAUCAGGAGCACAGAAAACACUAGGGUCCUCUUCACAUGGGGGAUUUUUUGCCCUGUUUUGCCACUUUUAUACACGGCAAGGACAGGGCCUGCCAUGCGCCAUCAAACACGUUCAUAUUCCUCCCAAAGUGGAAGGAAAGCACCAAAAGACGCUUUCUCCUCCACUAUGAGAAGGAAAGUGUGGCACAAUCUUCUCUUUUUUGCCGUGUAAUGGCAGAAAGGGCAGCUGUUAGGAAUUAUGGGAAUUGAAGUCCAAAACACCUGGAGGGCCAAAGCUUGCCCAUGCCUGGUAUAAGGUGUAUUGAGCUCUUGCAGGGGUCAAGUGCAGGCAGCAAACUACACAUAGCUGGCUUUGCCACUGGUGACCCUUUGACUUUGCUUCUGCUUAUCCAGCUCACUGCCGCAAGAGCAAGACCGCAUCAUGGUCCCAUUAGAGAUGGAUUUGACAGAGUCACCUCUAAACCACAGAGCUACUACAACCUACUCCUCUAAAAUCUGCUUUUGCCUGUGGAUCCUAUUGACUUUAGUUGCAACAAAGAAUCUUCCAGAUUGUUGUUCAGAAUUUAACGUGUAAUUAGAAGUGAAUGUUCCUCUCUAUUUAUCAAUAAUGCAGAUUCAGCCCAGCUCCUCUGCUGUUGGUGCUGCUAUUAUUAUGCAGCACAAUAUGUUCACACUGACAACACAGCUCCAAUUAAUAAUUUAUAGAUGAUCUGAAUGAGUCUGUCACACUGAGCAAUGGCAUUAGUCACAAAGUUUGUAGCUCAGUGUUUGCAGAUGAGUCCAGAUUAAUAAUGAUAUUAAAUUGGGUUCUAUAACUUUAAUAUGUCAUUGAUUCCAUGUGAAGUAGGGCUAAGUUAAGCAUUUCUAUAAAUGUAUUAUGUGCAAGAGAAUUUGCUUUCUUUUCACUUGAAAGUAAGCAGGUGGAGUUCUGGUCUGGACUGAGAUCAGCGGAUUCCUUCCCCCUCCAAAAACAUUAUUUCCAUCUCCCCAGGCAAGGAAUAAAAACAUGCAGAAACCAAUAUUUGGGGGAAAGAGCUGAUUACACUAUGUAACAAAAUUUGAAAAAAAAUCUGUUAUAUCCUGUUUAAUUGUGCAGUACUUUGAAAGCAGUUGUUGGUAUACCCCAGAAACUUCAUUUUUGUGACUGACACAAACUAUGUUAAAUUGAUUGAGACUUUGUAAGAUAUUCAUUGAAAACCUAUUAUUAUUACUAUUAUUUUAUUUCUUACCUGCCUCUCUUCACAGCUCGAGGUGGGUUACAUCAUUGCUAAAGCACAUAAUCAAAACACAUAGUCAUUUAAAAAUGAUAAAAAAAAUGUGUAGAAUGCACAUAUGAAAACAUGUUUCCAUGAAUGCAUAUUAAAAUACACAAAAGUUAGACAUAGAGUGGAAGUUUAAAGUUCAUCAAUAUAGCAAAAUGUGUUAUAUGUGCAUAACAAACAAAGUUUUUGCAGUUUAAUAAACUUUUUCCAUGUUUUUAGGAUAGAACCGAUUAGAGAAUGACAUUUAUAACCCAGGAACAAAAAUCGUGUUACAUAGUGUUACAAAUGUCUCUGGAUUGAGGAUGAUAAGCAUUGUAACUCCUAGAGGGAACCUGGUUUACAUGACUGGUUAAAAAUACUUAAUUUCUCACUUUUAUCUGGAUUUUGUAUACAUGUUUUUUAGAUUUUCGCCUUAUCCUGUAGCAAUCCAACGAGUUUGCACUAGGAUCUAUUAACGGAACUCUGUCAUUUGAAAGAUAGAUAUAAUAACAAUAAUAACAACAAUAAUAACUUUAUUUUCCUAUCCCACCGCCAUCUCCCCGCAGGGACUUGGGGUGGCUAACACAGGGUGAAAGCCCGAAAACAAUAAAACAGAGUAAAACAGAUAAAAACAACAUCUUCAAAUAAGUAAAACACAAUAAAAUCAGAAAAUGCAAUACAAAUGCAAUACAAUAACAGUAAGAAUAGUAUGUAUGUAUGGAUACAAUAUACAGGCAUUAAACAUAUGCAAGCCAUAUAAAUGGUGGGAAUGCCAAUUCACUAUCCAGGCUGCUCUUGUGCAAUCUGAUGUGUUGAAAGCAGCUAGUGAAGCUUUCCACAACAGGGAGAUAAGAAUGACCCUUAAGUUAGUGUUAAAAUACAGGAGCAGGUCUGUUUCUGCCAGUACAUUCAAUGUUAGAAUUUACUGUUAAAACAAUCAUACAAGUGUUUAUUUUUAGCCUUCCUCCCACACACUCUCAUUUAAAGUCUGCAAAGAAGUUCUAUCCAAGCUUGUUAUUCCAUUAUGCAGAUGCAUCUGAAAACCUUGUUUGUUACCUGAAAGCCGUAGUGCACUUUCCAUUUUUCUUUGAACAUAUUCUUUGUUUCUUCAAAUGUACUGUUCUUUCUAGCAUUCCCUUGAUGAAACCUUAUCUGUAAGAACAGAAAUAAAUGAAACACAGAUGCAACCAGUAGGGAGGCUUGUUUACAUUCCACAACAUGACAGUGGGCUGCCUGGAGUGGAUAAUAAGACAUCCAGAAUUCAUUUAAGGCUUCAAACAACUUGAGCUUCAAGAAUCCCAUCCAGUAGCAGGUUUCAGAAGAACAGCCAUGAAAGCUGUUGUACCAAAAAGAACAAAGAGCCUAGGGGAAUUAAACUUUAUAUUGGCAUAAAUCCAGUAGUGUCACCCACUUGGGCCAAUCUUUUUCAUUUCCAUUAACAUCACGCAGAGUGUGGAAAACUUCCCAUUUUGCAUCUAACUCCCAGUACCUUUAGCCCAGUGGUUCUCAACCUGGGGUCCCCAUAUGUUUUUGGCCUACAACUCCCAGAAAUCCCAGCCAGUUUACAAACUGUUAGGAUUUCUGGGAGUUGAAGGUCAAAAAUAUCUGACCCCGAAGUUGAGAACUACUGCUUUAGCCUAUAUGACUAGUGGACAGAUGCUGGUCCAGAAUUCUGGGACAUUUUCUCUAAAAAAAAAAAAAACCCUUUUCCAACGCUGGUGCUAAUACAUUUAAUCUAUCAUUUAAUCAUGGGCUAAUUAUCAUAGGAAGUUUGCUUGUAUAUAAAACACCUGGAGGGCUAAAGUUUGCCCAUACCUGCUCUAAAUUCACUGGGUUGGAGGUGCAGAACACUCCAUUGAAGUAUUCUCUCACGGAAUUUCUAGGUUUUUCACCAUAACCCUAUGGCCAAUUUCUGGCAGGAAUCGACCAUAAAAUUCUAUUGAAGGACUUAGAGAUUCUUAAAGAUAAUGCUAUGUUCAUCAAAUCCUGGUAUGAUCAAAUCCUCAAAAGUGAAACUUACAAGGGCCACUAUAUCUAAUGUGGUUUGCAGUGUCUCCUGAGCCUCUCACGUUUUCCCUUUUCAACAGAUAAACCUGAGCAUAUAUGGGUUCAUUUAAAAUUGUAAAAGUGUGAUCAUAAAAUCUUUUUAACUGGGAAUCCCAGAACUCGAACCUUCGGCCUUUGACAAGUAGUCAGCAGGUGUGCUCUAGAACCCAGAUGUGAUCUCUGCCUGUGGACCCUUUUAUAAACAUUUUCUGGACUUUGAUUUCAGAAGUGUUGGGCACAAAUUACAAGCUUAGAUGCAUAAACACCACUUAUCUUUCAUGUUACAUGUUAAUUACAUGGCAAGAGUUUGGACUUAAUGGUCCUUGUAAUCUCUUCCAACUCUAUGAUUCUA